RNAcentral lists this ribosomal RNA (312 nucleotides) under uncultured cyanobacterium. RNAcentral's name for it is "bacterial SSU rRNA". It matches the Rfam family "Bacterial small subunit ribosomal RNA", at positions 484 to 794 of the family's 1533-position model. Lineage: Bacteria; Bacillati; Cyanobacteriota. The record is from RNAcentral.
GAAUCAGCAUCGGCUAACUCCGUGCCAGCAGCCGCGGUAAGACGGAGGAUGCGAGCGUUAUCCGGAAUUAUUGGGCGUAAAGCGUCCGUAGGCGGUAAUUUAAGUCUGCCGUUAAAGACUACAGCUCAACUGUAGGAGAGCGGUGGAAACUGAAUUACUAGAGUGUGGUAGGGGUAGAGGGAAUUCCCAGUGUAGCGGUGAAAUGCGUAGAUAUUGGGAAGAACACCAGUGGCGAAGGCGCUCUACUGGGCCACAACUGACGCUGAGGGACGAAAGCUAGGGGAGCGAAAGGGAUUAGAUACCCCCUGUAGU